RNAcentral lists this ribosomal RNA (254 nucleotides) under uncultured bacterium. RNAcentral describes it as "partial 16S ribosomal RNA". It matches the Rfam family "Bacterial small subunit ribosomal RNA", at positions 524 to 776 of the family's 1533-position model. The record is from RNAcentral.
CACGUAGGGCGCAAGCGUUUGUCCGGAAUUAUUGGGCGUAAAGAGCGUGUAGGCGGCUGGGUAGGUCCGUUGUGAAAACUCGGAGCUCAACCUCGAGACGCCGAUGGAAACCCUCCAGCUAGAGUCCGGAAGAGGAGAGUGGAAUUCCUGGUGUAGCGGUGAAAUGCGCAGAUAUCAGGAAGAACACCCGUGGCUAAGGCGGCUCUCUAGUACGGUACUGACGCUGAGACGCGAAAGCGUGGGGAGCGAACAGG